AAUUUUUUCAAUAUUGGGCUUUUAUUCCACUGUCGUCAUUUUACCGAUUGUACCGGAAAAUUACAAAAACUUAGUGUUAACAUUCACAAUUAUUGGAGGUAUAGACAUGGUUGUUAACCUAAUUGAGUUGCCAUUUGUCGUACUUCUGCUUAUUGGAUUGCAUAAGGAGAAAUCAAAGUACGUCAGAUUAUUCCUCAUAUUCCUGGUAGUAAUUACUGUGGUGACAAUCAUUGAGCGCAUUGUAAGCCUGUCUCUCUCCACGCCUUCGUUUUCGCUCAUACUGGGGGUAUUUUUGACCUUGUUAUAUAUAGUGUUCAACGUGUAUUAUAUCGUCGUGUUAAGGAGCCAUUACCUGAACAUGGUGGAGGAUGCCAAGAAUCUACCCCCACCCUCGGCUCGGCAGGCUUAACUCCUCCCCAGCUCCAGGAAGCCGCUAGUACUUGGCACAUCUAUCGAUCCGCACACAAAGGAGGUCGACCAUUUUGGGCCCAGUACGUUACAGAAAAAGAAAUGACGACAAAUCCUUUCAUCAUUAACCUCAGACCCAUUACAAAUGGACCAGUAUCGCACCCAAAUUCACCAUUUUGACCACUUAUUGUACGUCAUUUUUUGAGGGGGAUGAGGUAAUCUUACACAUCGAAAAUAUUUAAUAGUAAAUAUAUUCUGUGUCCUUAGACUAAGUAUAAAAUUGAUUAGCAAUAAACACAGAUUUAUAUGUAAUUUGUAUGUAUUCGCAAAUAUAUUAUGUAAGAAAACAGGA
Molecule: long non-coding RNA, 760 nt
Organism: Bicyclus anynana (squinting bush brown)
Lineage: Eukaryota; Metazoa; Arthropoda; Insecta; Lepidoptera; Nymphalidae
Exons: 3
Source: RefSeq, a predicted model, not a curated record